UUACGGCCAUAUCACGUCGAAGCACCAGUUCCCGUGCGAUCAAAGAAGUUAAGCAACGUCGAGCCUGUUCAGUACCUGGAUGAGUGAGCACUUAGGAAUUCCGGAUGAUGUAAG
Acanthosepion pharaonis is the source of this 114-nucleotide non-coding RNA. NCBI's taxonomy places the organism in Eukaryota, Metazoa, Mollusca, Cephalopoda, Sepiida, Sepiidae. The record is from the annotation of a GenBank genome assembly.